AGCUGGUCAGCUGUAGACUGCAGGAAGCAGAGGCACUAACUGAACUCAAAGUGCUAAAACAACACAUUAAAGACCUAGAGGAGAAAUGGCAGAACAAAAUUUACAGUAACCAGCUAAAACCAAUUGAAGCACACAUAAACAGCCAGCAAGAUCAUCUACAGGAGCUGACAUCUCAGAACCAAGAUCUGUGCAGCCAGUUACAACAGAGCAGACGGCAGUUUUCAACUGUUCAAUACAAGCGAAAAGAAAAGCAGGACAAAGAAGCAGCAAACUUGACCAUAAUUGCAGUUCUUCAAAAGCAGAUCACAGAGUUACAAAUUCAAAUUCAAAGCCUCUCCAAACAUACUAUGUUUUCUCAACCCACAUCGAGGCCUUCCACAUCCACCUCUCUGAAGCACAAUGACACCUAAAAAUGGACAGCUGCCCUAACGUCCCGUCAUCCUGUCUCCAGAAGCACGCCAUUCGGUGAGACACUGAAGAUGUUCUAUUAAGAGCGCUACCCACAGCUGCAGUCUCCACUAUGAGAGAGUCUUCACAGCCCCAGCUUUUAAACAUGCUGCAACACUUUGAGUGUCAUGAGCAGAGACACACUGUGACAGUUUUGCCAUUAACACUUGAAAGUGACAGCAAGAUUUCUCAUUCUUACCAACAAAAAAAAAGUUGUUAAAUGUCUUAGAUCUAACAUUCAAGUAAACAUCACAAAGCACUUAGUACUGUCACGCUGUAAAAGAGGUUUUAGUCAUGGUCAGCCGCAAGUAUCUUAAUGCUGGAUACCUGUACUGAAAAUCCGGCUGAUUGAACAACAGUGAUUUCAGACAAAUUAAUCUCUUUUUGACCCAGUGUCACUGGAAUUUAUAAUGUUUUAGCCUCCAGG
RNAcentral lists this long non-coding RNA (874 nucleotides) under Sinocyclocheilus grahami. Its description in RNAcentral is "lncRNA (ENSSGRG00000054614.1)". The record is from RNAcentral. Lineage: Eukaryota; Metazoa; Chordata; Actinopteri; Cypriniformes; Cyprinidae.